UACGGAGGGAGCUAGCGUUGUUCGGAAUUACUGGGCGUAAAGCGUGCGCAGGCGGUCUGUUAAGACCGAUGUGAAAUCCCCGGGCUUAACCUGGGAACUGCAUUGGUGACUGGCAGGCUUUGAGUGUGGCAGAGGGAGGUAGAAUUCCACGUGUAGCAGUGAAAUGCGUAGAGAUGUGGAGGAACACCGAUGGCGAAGGCAGCCCCCUGGGUCAAGAUUGACGCUCAUGCACGAAAGCGUGGGGAGCAAACAGG
RNAcentral lists this ribosomal RNA (254 nucleotides) under uncultured bacterium. RNAcentral describes it as "partial 16S ribosomal RNA". It matches the Rfam family "Bacterial small subunit ribosomal RNA", at positions 524 to 776 of the family's 1533-position model. The record is from RNAcentral.